UACGUAGGUGGCAAGCGUUGUCCGGAUUUAUUGGGUUUAAAGGGUGCGUAGGCGGCUUUGUAAGUCAGUGGUGAAAUAUGGCAGCUCAACUGUCAGGGUGCCAUUGAUACUGCGGAGCUUGAGUACAGAUGAGGUAGGCGGAAUUGGCGGUGUAGCGGUGAAAUGCUUAGAUAUCGUCAAGAACACCGAUAGCGAAGGCAGCUUACUGGGCUGUAACUGACGCUGAGGCACGAAAGUGUGGGGAUCAAACAGG
This 253-nucleotide ribosomal RNA is filed under the name uncultured bacterium. Its description in RNAcentral is "partial 16S ribosomal RNA". It matches the Rfam family "Bacterial small subunit ribosomal RNA", at positions 524 to 776 of the family's 1533-position model. The record is from RNAcentral.